UGUAAGCGUAUACCAAAGUUGUUGCAGUUAAAACGCUCGUAGUCGGAAUUUGGCAGUUCCGGAUGUGUGCACGUCGUGUGCGCACUUCGCGGGGAUUGCUUUUGUGGUCUUGCGUAGGAUGAGGCACUUUUAUUAGUGAACGUCCUCACGCAACCACUUUUUACUGUGAGAAAAUCAGAGUGCUCAAAGCAGGCAUUUGCCGUGAAUGUAUUAGCAUGGAAUAAUAGAAUAGGACUUGGUUCUAUUUUGUUGGUUUGUUGGGACUGAGUAAUGAUUAAGAGGGACAGUUGGGGGCAUUUGUAUUCCGGCGCUAGAGGUGAAAUUCUUAGAUUGCCGGAAGACAAGCUGCUGCGAAAGCGUCUGCCAAGGAUGUUUUCAUUGA
RNAcentral lists this ribosomal RNA (382 nucleotides) under uncultured eukaryote. Its description in RNAcentral is "partial 18S ribosomal RNA". It matches the Rfam family "Eukaryotic small subunit ribosomal RNA", at positions 592 to 976 of the family's 1831-position model. The record is from RNAcentral.